GAUAGGCCGGGCGAAGCAGCGGGGGUAUGACAGGGGGCCCAGGGGUUGUUCGGAUUGACUGUGGGGAAAGGGUGCGUAGGUGGCGAGGUAAGUCGGAUGUGAAAGCUCGGAGCUCAAAUCCGAAAUGGCAUUGGAAACUACCUUGCUCGAGGGUCGGAGGGGGGACUGGAAUACUUGGUGUAGCAGUGAAAUGCGUAGAUAUCAAGUGGAACACCAGUGGCGAAGGCGAGUCCCUGGACGACUCCUGACACUGAGGCACGAAAGCUAGGGGAGCAAACAGGAUUAGAUACCCCUGUAGUC
This 300-nucleotide ribosomal RNA is filed under the name uncultured Armatimonas sp. RNAcentral describes it as "bacterial SSU rRNA". It matches the Rfam family "Bacterial small subunit ribosomal RNA", at positions 496 to 795 of the family's 1533-position model. Lineage: Bacteria; Bacillati; Armatimonadota; Armatimonadia; Armatimonadales; Armatimonadaceae. The record is from RNAcentral.